AAUGAGGGAGAGUUAAACGGACCAUCGAGUUUCCAUUGGAGGGCAAGUCUGGUGCCAGCAGCUGCGGUAAUACCAGCUCCAAUAGCGUAUAUUAAAGUUGUUGCAGUUAAAAAGCUCGUAGUUGGACUUGUGUGCGCUGUCCGCGGGUGGCCUGCGCCCAAAAGGGCGUUUCGGUUCGGCCCCGGUGGCGCCUUGAAAUCUGCAGCUGGGGGGACGUUGGCCUUAACUGGUCGGCGACCGCACGCCGGCUGCUCGGUUACUGCGAGAAAAUUAGAGUGUUCAAGGCAGGCAUUGGGUGCAAUUGAAUACAUUAGCAUGGAAUAAUAAAAUAUGGCUCCUGCCGUAUUUUGUUGGUUUUGACUGGUGGGAGUAAUGAUUGAUAGGGACGGUUGGGGGUGCUAGUAUUGAGCGGCCAGAGGUGAAAUUCAUGGAUUCGCUCAAGACUAACUUAUGCGAAAGCAUUCACCAAGGACGUCCUCUUUAAUCAAGAACGAAAGUUGGGGGAUCGAAGACGAUCAGAUACCGUCGUAGUCUCAACCAUAAACUAUGUCGACUUGGGAUCGGCGGUAGUUUUUUCAUUAAGACACUGUCGGGACCACGGGAGAAAUCAAAGUGUCUGGACUCUGGGGGAAGUAUGGUCGCAAGGCUGAAACUUGAAGGAAUUGACGGAAGGGCACCACCAGGAGUGGAGCCUGCGGCUUAAUUUGACCCAACACGGGGAAACUUACCAGGUCCAGAGAUGUAGAGGAUUGACAGAUUGAAGCUCUUUCUUGAUCACUUCGGUGGUGGUGCAUGGCCGUUCUUAGUUGGUGGAGUGAUUUGUCUGGUUAAUUCCGUUAACGAACGAGACCUCAGCCUGCUAGUGUAGUCGGCUGGAUUGCCUUUGGCGAUCCGUGAUUUCGACUUCUUAGAGGGACAAUCGACGCGCAGUCGAUGGAAGUUUGAGGCAAUAACAGGUCUGUGAUGCCCUUAGAUGUUCUGGGCCGCACGCGCGCUACACUGCUGGGCUCAGCGAGUUUUACUUGGCCGAGAGGCCCGGUUAAUCUUGUGAAAUCCCAGCGUGCUUGGGCUCGCCUCCUGCAACUGGAGGCGCCAACGAGGAAUUCCUAGUAGACGCAGGUCAUCAACCUGCAUCGAUUACGUCCCUGCCCUUUGUACACACCGCCCGUCGUUCCAUAAGAGUGAGGCAUCCGGUGAAUUCUCGGGAGAGCCUGGGCGUGGCCAGCAAUGGUCUGCUCGGGUUUGAACUUGCAUAAACUUGGUGCCUAUGAUCAGGG
This 1277-nucleotide ribosomal RNA is filed under the name metagenome. RNAcentral describes it as "SSU rRNA". It matches the Rfam family "Eukaryotic small subunit ribosomal RNA", at positions 513 to 1783 of the family's 1831-position model. The record is from RNAcentral.